GCGGGAUUGGCGUAAUUGGUAGCCGCGCAGGUUUUAGGUACCUGUGGUUUCGUACCGUGGGGGUUCGAGUCCCCCAUCCCGUACCA
This 86-nucleotide transfer RNA is filed under the name Sulfitobacter sp. R18_1. RNAcentral describes it as "tRNA-Leu". It matches the Rfam family "tRNA". Rfam says of the family: Transfer RNA (tRNA) molecules are approximately 80 nucleotides in length. Lineage: Bacteria; Pseudomonadati; Pseudomonadota; Alphaproteobacteria; Rhodobacterales; Roseobacteraceae. The record is from RNAcentral.